GGUUAGUAGCAAUACUAACUGCUGACGAGCGGCGGACGGGUGAGGAACACGUAGGAACCUGCCCUCAAGCGGGGGAUAACUAAGGGAAACUCUAGCUAAUACCGCAUAAUCUCGAGAGAGAAAAGCUACCCGCAAGGGCGGCACUUGAGGAGGGGCCUGCGUCCGAUUAGCUAGUUGGUGAGGUAAAGGCUCACCAAGGCGAUGAUCGGUAACUGGUCUGAGAGGACGACCAGUCACACUGGGACUGAGACACGGCCCAGACUCCUACGGGAGGCAGCAGUGGGGAAUAUUGGACAAUGGGGGCAACCCUGAUCCAGCGAUGCCGCGUGAGUGAAGAAGGCCUUAGGGUCGUAAAGCUCUUUAGGUUGGGAAGAAGGUUAUUUGUUUAAUAGACAAGUAAUUUGACGGUACCGACAGAAUAAGCACCGGCAAACUCUGUGCCAGCAGCCGCGGUAAUACAGAGGGUGCGAGCGUUAAUCGGAUUUACUGGGCGUAAAGGGCGCGUAGGCGGUAAGAUGAGUGUGGUGUGAAAGCCCCGGGCUUAACCUGGGAAGUGCAUCACAAACGAUCUAACUGGAGUAGAUGAGAGGGUGGCGGAAUUUCCGGUGUAGCGGUGAAAUGCGUAGAGAUCGGAAGGAACGUCAAUGGCGAAGGCGGUCUCCUGGGGCAUUCUUGACGCUGAGGCGCGAAAGCUGGGGGAGCGAACGGGAUUAGAUACCCCGGUAGUCCCAGCCCUAAACGAUGAAUACUAGGUGUCGGGGGUAUCGACCCCUCCGGUGCCGCCGCUAACGCAGUAAGUAUUCCGCCUGGGGAGUACGGCCGCAAGGUNNAACUCAAAUGAAUUGACGG
RNAcentral lists this ribosomal RNA (849 nucleotides) under uncultured bacterium. Its description in RNAcentral is "bacterial SSU rRNA". It matches the Rfam family "Bacterial small subunit ribosomal RNA", at positions 71 to 916 of the family's 1533-position model. The record is from RNAcentral.